This 277-nucleotide long non-coding RNA is filed under the name Elaeis guineensis (African oil palm). RNAcentral describes it as "long non-coding RNA (EGUI_LNC002918)". The record is from RNAcentral. Lineage: Eukaryota; Viridiplantae; Streptophyta; Magnoliopsida; Arecales; Arecaceae.
CUCGUAGCUUGUUUGAUUCAGACAAGUAAGUUUGAGAAAUAUUUUAUAUCUAGUACCCUAAAGUCAUCUGAUUCGAAAGUUAUUGGUUGAAAACUCGCUACAUUGGUCAGACAGAAAACUUAAGGAAUUAAGGCACUUAAUAGCAGUACAAUAUUAAAAAAAAAAGAGUAAAGUCUAAACAUUGAUCUCCUAUCGAAUAACUGGAUCUCUUAAUCUAAAUAAGCGAUGUGGUUCACAUCAAAAAGUGGACAAUAUGAAGAUAUUUUAUAAUAAAUGA